RNAcentral lists this transfer RNA (74 nucleotides) under Chrysosplenium griffithii. Its description in RNAcentral is "tRNA-Lys". It matches the Rfam family "tRNA". From Rfam's summary of the family: Transfer RNA (tRNA) molecules are approximately 80 nucleotides in length. Their secondary structure includes four short double-helical elements and three loops (D, anti-codon, and T loops). Lineage: Eukaryota; Viridiplantae; Streptophyta; Magnoliopsida; Saxifragales; Saxifragaceae. RNAcentral also lists the same sequence under 2 other names. The record is from RNAcentral.
UGGGUUGCUAACUCAACGGUAGAGUACUCGGCUUUUAACCGACUAGUUCUGGGUUCGAGUCCCGGGCAACCCAU